UACGGAGGGUGCAAGCGUUAUUCGGAAUUACUAGGUGUAAAGGGCGCGUAGGCGGUUUAUUAAGUCGAAUGUUAAAUCCACUAGCUUAACUAGCUGGCUGCAUUCGAAACUAAUAGGCUUGAGUAUAGAAGAGGAAAAUGGAAUUCCUAGUGUAGCGGUGAAAUGCGUAGAUAUUAGGAGGAACACCAAUAGCGAAAGCAGUUUUCUGGUCUAUUACUGACGCUGAGGCGCGAAAGCUAGGGGAU
RNAcentral lists this ribosomal RNA (245 nucleotides) under uncultured bacterium. Its description in RNAcentral is "partial 16S ribosomal RNA". It matches the Rfam family "Bacterial small subunit ribosomal RNA", at positions 524 to 768 of the family's 1533-position model. The record is from RNAcentral.